ACGAACGCUGGCGGCGUGCUUAACACAUGCCAGUCGAACGGUGAAGGGGCCUGCUUUUGUGGGCCCUGGAUGAGUGGCGAACGGGUGAGUAACACGUGAGUAACCUGCCCCCUUCUUCUGGAUAACCGCAUGAAAGUGUGGCUAAUACGGGAUAUUCUGGGUCUGUCGCAUGAUGGGUCUGGGAAAGAUUGCGCCUUUGGGUGUUUUUGGUGGGGGAUGGGCUCGCGGCCUAUCAGCUUGUUGGUGGGGUGAUGGCCUACCAAGGCGGUGACGGGUAGCCGGCCUGAGAGGGUGGACGGUCACACUGGGACUGAGACACGGCCCAGACUCCUACGGGAGGCAGCAGUGGGGAAUAUUGCACAAUGGGCGCAAGCCUGAUGCAGCGACGCCGCGUGAGGGAUGGAGGCCUUCGGGUUGUAAACCUCUUUCGCCAGUGAAGCAGGCCUGCUCCUUGUGGGUGGGUUGACGGUAGCUGGAUAAGAAGCGCCGGCUAACUACGUG
Molecule: ribosomal RNA, 501 nt
Filed under: uncultured bacterium
Lineage: Bacteria
Description: partial 16S ribosomal RNA
Rfam family: Bacterial small subunit ribosomal RNA
Source: RNAcentral